Molecule: long non-coding RNA, 388 nt
Filed under: Nicotiana benthamiana
Lineage: Eukaryota; Viridiplantae; Streptophyta; Magnoliopsida; Solanales; Solanaceae
Description: long non-coding RNA (NBEN_LNC032812)
Source: RNAcentral
UAACAUACCUUGACAUAUAUAAAAUUUACGAGAAAAUUUCAUUUUUAAACAAAAUUAGAAUCCAUAAUAGGUGUAAUAUCCAUAAAAGCAAAACAUUUAACAAUAUUUGUAAAUGAAUUGGAACACAUAAGUUUCCAAAUUAAAGUGUACAAAACUAAAAUAUUUCUAGUUUCAUCAUGAAUCAACCUAAUACUCGUAAGUACGAUCUUCAUCACGUUGGUCGCCUACCACCAAUACAAAAUUAGAAUCCAUAAUAGGUGUAAUUUCCAUAAAAGCAAAACAUUUAACAAUAUUUGUCAAUGAAUUGGAACACAUAAGUUUCCAAAUCAAAGUGUACAAAAAUAAAAUAUUUCUAGUUUCAUCAUGAAUCAACCUAAUACUCUUAAGU